UACGGAGGGUGCGAGCGUUGUCCGGAAUCACUGGGCGUAAAGGGCGCGUAGGUGGCCCGCGCAAGCGUGCGGUGAAAGCCCGGGGCUCAACCCCGGGUCGGCCGUGCGGACUGCGGGGCUGGAGCACUGUAGGGGCGGGUGGAAUUCCGGGUGUAGCGGUGGAAUGCGUAGAGAUCCGGAAGAACACCGGUGGCGAAGGCGGCCCGCUGGGCAGUAGCUGACACUGAGGCGCGACAGCGUGGGGAGCGAUCCGG
Molecule: ribosomal RNA, 254 nt
Filed under: uncultured bacterium
Lineage: Bacteria
Description: partial 16S ribosomal RNA
Rfam family: Bacterial small subunit ribosomal RNA
Source: RNAcentral